RNAcentral lists this transfer RNA (73 nucleotides) under Podarcis lilfordi (Lilford's wall lizard). Its description in RNAcentral is "tRNA.Lys". The stretch from base 10 to 65 matches the Rfam family "tRNA", at positions 10 to 63 of the family's 71-position model. Rfam says of the family: Transfer RNA (tRNA) molecules are approximately 80 nucleotides in length. Their secondary structure includes four short double-helical elements and three loops (D, anti-codon, and T loops). The record is from RNAcentral. Lineage: Eukaryota; Metazoa; Chordata; Lepidosauria; Squamata; Lacertidae.
GCCAUGACCCCUCAGUUGGUAGAGUAUGAGACUCUUAAUCUCAGGUUUAUGGGUUCAAGCCCCACAUUGGGCA